Molecule: ribosomal RNA, 488 nt
Filed under: uncultured bacterium
Lineage: Bacteria
Description: SSU rRNA
Rfam family: Bacterial small subunit ribosomal RNA
Source: RNAcentral
AGGACGAACGCUGGCGGCGUGCUUAACACAUGCAAGUCGAGCGGUAAGGCCUCCUUCGGGGGGUACACGAGCGGCGAACGGGUGAGUAACACGUGGGUGACCUGCCCUCAGCUCUGGGAUAAGCCUGGGAAACCGGGUCUAAUACCGGAUGGGACUGCUUGCCGCAUGGUGGGUGGUGGAAAGUUUUUUCGGCUGGGGAUGGGCCCGCGGCCUAUCAGCUUGUUGGUGGGGUGAUGGCCUACCAAGGCGGUGACGGGUAGCCGGCCUGAGAGGGGCGACCGGGCCAACGACCUGGGACUGAGACACGGCCCAGACUCCUACGGGAGGCAGCAGUGGGGAAUAUUGCGCAAUGGGCGGAAGCCUGACGCAGCGACGCCGCGUGGGGGAUGACGGCCUUCGGGUUGUAAACCUCUUUCGCCAUCGACGAAGCCUCUCGGGGUGACGGUAGGUGGAGAAGAAGCACCGGCCAACUACGUGCCAGCAGCCGC